RNAcentral lists this ribosomal RNA (397 nucleotides) under uncultured bacterium. RNAcentral describes it as "partial 16S ribosomal RNA". It matches the Rfam family "Bacterial small subunit ribosomal RNA", at positions 523 to 918 of the family's 1533-position model. The record is from RNAcentral.
AUACGUAGGGGGCGAGCGUUGUCCGGAAUGAUUGGGCGUAAAGGGCGCGUAGGCGGCCCGGUAAGUCUGGAGUGAAAGUCCUGUUUUUAAGAUGGGAAUUGCUUUGGAUACUGUCGGGCUUGAGUGCAGGAGAGGUAAGUGGAAUUCCCAGUGUAGCGGUGAAAUGCGUAGAAAUUGGGAGGAACACCAGUGGCGAAGGCGACUUACUGGACUGUAACUGACGCUGAGGCGCGAAAGUGUGGGGAGCAAACAGGAUUAGAUACCCUGGUAGUCCACACUGUAAACGAUGAAUGCUAGGUGUAGGGGGUAUCGACCCCUUCUGUGCCGCAGUCAACACAAUAAGCAUUCCGCCUGGGGAGUACGGCCGCAAGGUUGAAACUCAAAUGAAUUGACGGGG